UCGAGUAGAGCUAAGCAAAGGUGGAGGAUCAGUAUAAUUGCAUAGCAUGUCAAAUUUGCAAGGUAAAUCAUAUCACAAAGGCGAGAUCACGUAGAGGAAUUACGUGUCUUCGUCUCCGGUGCAAGCGCAAGCAACGAAGCAGAUCGACAAUGGAUCAUUCAUCGAAAGCGUCGACUAUGUUAUGAGCAGGAUGCACCGGUUGGGAGGAGGCACCGGCGAGGAGACGGUGUAGUUACAACAACACUGUCAUUGCUGCAACGACAGUAGCAACAGGUGAAG
This 279-nucleotide long non-coding RNA is filed under the name Musa acuminata (dwarf banana). RNAcentral describes it as "long non-coding RNA (MACU_LNC002879)". The record is from RNAcentral. Lineage: Eukaryota; Viridiplantae; Streptophyta; Magnoliopsida; Zingiberales; Musaceae.